AGAGUUUGAUCCUGGCUCAGAACGAACGCUGGCGGCGUGGAUUAGGCAUGCAAGUCGAACGGCAACCCGCGUGAUCAAUUCUUCGGAAGAGAUCUGCGGGCUAGAGUGGCGCACGGGUGAGUAACGCGUGGGUAACUUGCCUCCAAGUUGGGAAUAGCCCGCCGAAAGGCGGGGUAAUACCGAAUGUGGUCGUCCCGGGGCAUCCCGGGGCUAUCUAAAGGCGGGCUCCUUCGGGACCUGUCGCUUGGGGAUAGGCCCGCGUCCCAUCAGCUAGUUGGUAGGGUAACGGCUUACCAAGGCUUACGGGUAGCUGGUCUGAGAGGAUGGUCAGCCACACUGGGACUGAGACACUGCCCAGACUCCUACGGGAGGCUGCAGUCGAGAAUCAUUCGCAAUGCGCGAAAGCGUGACGAUGCGACGCCGCGUGCAGGAUGAAGGCCUUCGGGUUGUAAACUGCUGUCAUGGGGGAACAACCGCUCCGCCGCGAAUACCGGCGGGGCGUGAUGGUACCUCAAGAGGAAGCCACGGCUAACUCUGUGCCAGCAGCCGCGGUAACACAGAGGUGGCGAGCGUUGUUCGGAUUUACUGGGCGUAAAGGGUGCGUAGGCGGUUCCGUAUGUCGGAUGUGAAAUCCCACGGCUCAACCGUGGAAUGGCAUCCGAAACUGCGGGGCUAGAGUACAGGAGAAGAGAGCGGAAUUCUCGGUGUAGCGGUGAAAUGCGUAGAUAUCGAGAGGAACGCCGGUGGCGAGAGCGGCUCUCUAGACUGAUACUGACGCUGAGGCACGAAAGCUGGGGGAGCAAACAGGAUUAGAUACCCUGGUAGUCCCAGCCGUAAACGUUGUGCACUUGGUGUGGGGGGUCUUGUCCCCCUCCGCGCCGGAGCUAACGCGUUAAGUGCACCGCCUGGGGAGUACGGCCGCAAGCUAAAACUCAAAGGAAUUGACGGGGGCCCGCACAAGCGGUGGAGCAUGUGGCUUAAUUCGAUGCAACGCGAAGAACCUUACCGGGGCUUGACAUGCAGGUGGUACGAACCUGAAAGGGUAAGGACCCCGCAAGGGGAGCCUGCACAGGUGCUGCAUGGCUGUCGUCAGCUCGUGCCGUGAGGUGUUGGGUUAAGUCCCGCAACGAGCGCAACCCUUGUGGUUAGUUGCCCCCUCCAACGAAAGGCGGAGAGCACUCUAACCAGACUGCCUGUGAUAAGCAGGAGGAAGGUGGGGAUGACGUCAAGUCAGUAUGGUCCUUAUGUCCUGGGCUGCACACGUGCUACAAUGGCCGGCACAGAGGGAUGCAAAGCCGCGAGGUGGAGCAAAUCCCCAAAACCGACCUCAGUACAGAUCGAAGUCUGCAACUCGACUUCGUGAAGCCGGAAUCGCUAGUAAAGGCGUAUCAGCUACGACGCCUUGAAUACGUUCCCGGGCCUUGUACACACCGCCCGUCACAUCAUGAAAGCCGACUGCACCCGAAGUCGCCGGGCCAAUCCGGAGAUUCGUCGAAGGAAGGCAGGCGCCGAAGGUGUGGUUGGUGAUUGGGAUGAAGUCGAAACAAGGUA
This 1551-nucleotide ribosomal RNA is filed under the name metagenome. Its description in RNAcentral is "bacterial SSU rRNA". It matches the Rfam family "Bacterial small subunit ribosomal RNA". The record is from RNAcentral.